Molecule: long non-coding RNA, 854 nt
Filed under: Equus caballus (horse)
Lineage: Eukaryota; Metazoa; Chordata; Mammalia; Perissodactyla; Equidae
Description: lncRNA (ENSECAG00000043292.2)
Source: RNAcentral
AUGAGUCAGAGUCAGAGGGAUGAAGUGUGAGAAAGAUUUAACCAGACAUUGCAGGCUUGGAAGAUGGAAGAAGGGGGCCACUGGCCAAAGAAUGCAGGCAGCCGGAAAAAGUAAGAGAGUGGAUUCUCCCCUCUAGAACCUCUAGAAAGGAACUCAGCCCUGCUGACAUCUUGAGGUUCAUCCAGUGAGACUCAUUUUGAACUUCUGACCUCCAAAACUGAAGGUGAGCAAUUAAUUGCAUAGAAGACCCAGGUCUUCCCAGAGGCUUUCUCGAAGGUCCUUGUUGAAGGCCUUGGAACAAGUAUUCGUAUUUGCCCCUUCCAUUUCAGGCAAAAUGGAAGCUCCCGCAGAUGGAGCUCUGCCUGAUCUGCCGUAGAUUCCGGGGACUGUUGGACAGUGACUUCUGGAACAGACACUCUUUGAAUUUUCUUUCUAUGGGAAUUGCAUAGUGCUGCGUUCGACGUGCUAAAGGAAACAUUACACUGAUAGGCAGAAAGAAAGAGAGGAAGAGAGAAGAGAGACUGAAAGGCAAACAGAAUCCACUAUCCUCCAUGGAGACAAACACUGUCAUGGACAAGCACCUGGACUAUCUCCUCCCGCAAAGAGAUAUGGGCUGGUGGGAAAGCUGCUGACUAGCCAAGGUCACAAGCUCUCUCCUCUCUGUAAGUGUCUCAAGGCCAAAGAUGGGCUGGUGGGAAAGCUCCAACCAGCAAAGCCAUAUGCUCCCCCUCCCCUCCCUAAAACCCCAAAUAAAAUCCUUCCUUUUAGCUUUUCGGGGAGUUUGGGAUUUCAGUGUUAGCUGCCCUCUCUCCUUGCUCAGCACUGUGCAAAAAUAAAAUUCCUACUUUCUUCCA